Molecule: ribosomal RNA, 526 nt
Filed under: Melanohalea olivacea
Lineage: Eukaryota; Fungi; Ascomycota; Lecanoromycetes; Lecanorales; Parmeliaceae
Description: eukaryotic LSU rRNA
Rfam family: Eukaryotic large subunit ribosomal RNA
Source: RNAcentral
AAUUUGAAAUCUGGCCCUUUCGGGGUCCGAGUUGUAAUUUGUAGAGAGUGCUUCGGGUGAGACCGCGGUCUAAGUCCAUUGGAACAUGGCGUCCCAGAGGGUGAGAAUCCCGUAUGUGACCGUGGCUCGAGCCCAUGUGAAGCCUCUUCGACGAGUCGAGUUGUUUGGGAAUGCAGCUCUAAAUGGGUGGUAAAUUUCAUCUAAAGCUAAAUACUGGCUGGAGACCGAUAGCGCACAAGUAGAGUGAUCGAAAGAUGAAAAGCACUUUGGAAAGAGGGUUAAACAGUACGUGAAAUUGUUGAAAGGGAAGCGCUGGCAACCAGACCUGCCCGUAGGCGAUCACCCGUUGUUCUCAGCGGUGCACUCGUUCUGCGAUCAGGCCAGCAUCGGUUCCGGCGGGCGGAUAAAGGUCUUGGGAAUGUAGCUCUCUUUCGGGGGAGUCUUAUAGCCCUCGAUGCAAUGCGCCCAGCCGGGACCGAGGACCGCGCUUCGGCUAGGAUGCUGGCGUAAUGGUUGUCAGCGACCC